This 227-nucleotide non-coding RNA is filed under the name Paenibacillus sabinae. Its description in RNAcentral is "T-box sequence". It matches the Rfam family "T-box leader". From Rfam's summary of the family: Uncharged tRNA acts as the effector for transcription antitermination of genes in the T-box leader family. T-boxes are found upstream of many aminoacyl-tRNA synthetase genes and some amino acid biosynthetic genes usually in Gram-positive bacteria. Lineage: Bacteria; Bacillati; Bacillota; Bacilli; Caryophanales; Paenibacillaceae. The record is from RNAcentral.
CAUAAAGCGAUGAUGGAACAAAGUUACUGAAGGUCUUCAGAGAGCCGGCGGGUGGUGCAAGCCGGUGACGGACGGUAGUCUUUAGCGCUCCUGAGAUAUUGUGUUGAACUUUAGUAGGCACAAUCGGAUCAUCUCCGUUACCAGUGUUCCUGUUUACAGGAAAUAAGGCUGUAUCUGUAAAAUGAUGCAGUGAAUUAGGGUGGUACCACGAUACUCUCGUCCCUUAC